GUACUACUCCUGAGAAAGCUGGCCCAUAGAGAGGAGUAAGGGAUACAGGCUUGCGUGAGCUGUGACUCAUCCUGGGUUCUUCUCAGUGCUGAGCACCAUCCAUCUAUAUCCACAGGCUGAAGGACACACCAGAUGCUGUCUUCGACCCUCCAACUCACAUUGCAUCUCCUCUAGAGUCCUGAGAGACGAAGCACGGGACAGGGACGUUUCCUUGGAUUAUGUUGGGAUGCUAGUCCUCAUCUCUUCGUUUUUCCUCAUAAGUCUCAAAUUACCUAGUGAAUAACCCAGCUCACAAUUCAUCUUCCCACAGCUUUGGAACAUCAGGCCAUUCUAACCUCACCCUUACUUCCACUUACACAUUGGACCCUCACACACUACCAGGAAGAGGAAAUAGCUAAGUAUCAGCUUGAACUUCCCCCGUCUUGGUUAAGUGUUGUCUGUCUGUGUCACAUGGAAACAAGGAGUGUGUGUUGUGUGUUACUCCCGGAGCUGCGGGUGGAGCCAGAGGAAGGUAGAGCCAGAGGAGGCUGAAGGGGAGGAGUGAGGCAAGAGCUGAGUUCAGAAGCACUAUGGUUGCUUAGUCUGGAAUUACCCAGCAAGUUAGAAGGGCCAAGGGCCAGAAUAGAGCUGGGGGUGGGAAAGCGGGCCAAGUCUGGUGGUGUUCUCUCUCUUGUGGCUAUUACACAAACAAAUAAAAUAGCAGCAAUGGAAAUGAGGGGGGAGGGGGGAGAAUCGCCACAGUCCUCCCCACUUACCACAUCAGAUGUUUUUAUUUUUCCAGGCCUCAGUGACAUUUAUGCAAAGAUGUUAUGCUGUGUGGUAAACACAAGCUCGGGCCCAGUUCCAACAUUCCAAAUUCAGCUGUUGUCCCUUAGGCUCACGGACAGAGCAUGUUUGCGUGUUGUAACACACACUUCGUCAGCUUAAUUACUACACAGCAUCUCACUGGGUGUUGUCACCAAUGCCACCAACAAUGGGCCUUUGUGGAAACCUUGGACUGUGAAUGUCGAUACUGAUAGUGAGACAGGGAACCCACACUGCUGACUUUCAGAGCUUUUAACUGUGUGAGAAGCUUCUGCGUGGCCCCAAUAGCUCUAGAACAACAGAGAAGGAAGUGUUAACCACUGAGUUGAGAACAUGGCUGGAUGAGCAGGGAAGACAGGAAGCUCAGGAUGGGUACCUGGAAUGGAGGGGCUACAGACCAUCCCAGAAGCAAUGUCUCCAAGGAGAGAAUAUGAAUGCAGUCCCCCACUACCACAAAUCAUGUAGUUGAGUUUCUUGAAUGUGAGGAGAUCUCAGGGUCAGCACAGCAGACUGCAGUAGAUGGGCCUUAUCCUGAGAAUGCCAUCUUCUUGACCUUGCCAUCUCCCAGGCUGGUGAACAUUACUGAUUAAUUUGUAAGACAGGGCCUGGCUACAUAGCCCAUGCUGGCCUUGAACCUGAAACCUACCUGCCUCAGUCUCCUUACAUCUGGCUUUAGGGUGUCAACUUUUUAAAAGCAUAUUAAAUAUAAUUAAUG
Peromyscus eremicus (cactus mouse) is the source of this 1519-nucleotide long non-coding RNA. RefSeq lists it as uncharacterized. The transcript has 4 exons. Lineage: Eukaryota; Metazoa; Chordata; Mammalia; Rodentia; Cricetidae. The record is from RefSeq and is a predicted model, not a curated record.